CGUCGGAUCUGUAUUCUGGCGCGUCUGAGCCAUCGGAUCUUCACAGCAGUCAAAACUAAUUUUCACCGCGGUCGUUUUCAUUGUCCAAUGACGGGUGGGCUUGUGUGGCGUGGUGGUUGGCUGGGUUGCCUGUUUUCGCGUGCAGGGCGUUUUGCCCAAUCCGCACCGCGCGCUCCGCACCCAAUCCCUCGUCUCCCAGGCACAGCCCACACCGGACAAACCCUAGCCUCACCAAGCCCCACAUCCCGCACUCCUCCCUCCUCCUCCAUCCUCGUUAGCCGCCGUCGCCGCCGUUUUGCCUCCCUCCUCUCUGUCCUACAACCACGUCGUCGUGAGGAAGCUGCCGUUCGUGGCGCUGUACCGCUCUCGGGGUGCUGCGCAAGCUUCGUUCCCCACAGCCCCUCGCUCAUCCUCGCUCGUCACCGCCACUGCCUGCUACUCCCCUCCACCACCGUUGAUGCUUCUGGGUUGAAUCUGGCAUUGGUGGGUCGGAGCUCGAGCUAGAGGCCGAGACGGGGAAGGUCAGAAAAAGGAGAGACCGGAUGGAGGUGCUCGAGGCCGAGGAAGCUACCGAUGGUGAGAUCCCUCUCCCCAUAUCUAUUCUCUUAGUUUUUCUCCAUCAGCACAACUAGCUUCACUAGCCAUCCGGUGGUUGGAGCACGGGGCAACGCUCCGGUCGCGAUGGGGUGGAGCUGCACAGGUGAGGGAGGAGGCUGGCACAGGGAACCGGGCCAGGGAGGAGGCAAGGUAGUUUUAGAGAACUUCUGGAUAUACAUGCAAUUCCAGCUGGCGACUGGCUUCCUUUUGUUACGCUCACCGGCGCUCGCCGUCGCCCAGCCGGCGAGCCUUCCCCAGUCGCCGACCAUGGCCACUACUACCGCUUCUUCAAACCCUGCUGCUUCCGCCAGCAGCCUCCGUGCUUUUCAUGGCCUCCCGCGGUUCUGCCCAGGCCCGACCCGGCCGCCGUCAUGGACCCUAGCGAUGAGAGGUGGUCGGCCGUGGUGACGACGAACCCCAGCUCGCCCGUGGCGUCGUAGGCAGAGAAGCUGUCGGCGACCUGGAACUGAACCCCCAGAUAGGGGCCUGGAGUAGCCGCUCCUGCUUCUGUCGUCUCACUUCUGUGUCGCUGCUUCGCAACUCGACACCGCCACUGGAGCUGAACUUUCAAGGAUUUUGGAGCCAUUCACGUAAUAUUUACUUAUAGACAAUUGAUGUGCUGCAAGUGAGAUUAUCAACUAAAAAGAGGUCUGAAACACUUAUUCAGGAAGGGGAGAAAUAAUACCCUUUUUUUAGGAAGGGAAGAAAUAUGAUUUUCAUAGGUAUGAAUCGAGCCUGCUUGUGUAGUAAGAGAAAGCAGUUUUUAAAGGAAGUAUUAGACCAUCCAAAAGAUUGAUCUCUUGUGAUCUUCCGGCUAUUGUACAACAUCAAUAUUCUGCUCGUUAAAGCUUCCUUUGCUCAUUC
Aegilops tauschii subsp. strangulata is the source of this 1461-nucleotide long non-coding RNA. RefSeq lists it as uncharacterized. NCBI's taxonomy places the organism in Eukaryota, Viridiplantae, Streptophyta, Magnoliopsida, Poales, Poaceae. The record is from RefSeq and is a predicted model, not a curated record.